CAAAUAUCGGGAGGGUUAUCCACUGUAAGCAUUUUCUUUGCCUCCCCGGAGCUUUCUGGAUGGGAGGAAGGAGGCCUUGCGAGCUCUGCACUGAUAAAUUGGAUCCACGGGGAAGCAGGAACACCCCCGUUCCUAGCAACAGGGCUGUGCUGUGGCCUUGCAUUCAUAAGAGCAAAGGCAAGUAGGAGAUUUUUCAGAAGUCUAUGGAAGAGAUGGAAAAAAGGGAAGGAAACACAUGAGAUUCACAUCCCAAAUGUUGAAGCAGAAGAUAAUAUAUUUGCCCAAUAGUGGAAUAUCUGGAGAAUUGUAUUCACCGGGGAGAAUCUGGGUUUUAGCUCCCUUUGAUGAUUCAGAUGGGAAACUGAGGCAGCAGCCGUUAUUAAUUGUUAUUACUCAUUCGUAUUUUUUCAUUAGCAUUACUAAGUAAGAGAGGGAACUGCAAUGGGUAAUUCAACACUUCAGACUCCCACGUUCCUGGCUCAAACUGCGACCUAAUAGAGAAUCUGCCGUGGGUUCAGAUCAAACCAAUAGAAGAUCUCUCCAAGGUGCUGAAUCUAUUUGUCAGCAUUGGGUUCAGCACCUUGGAUAGCUACUUCCAAAGCUAAUAUGGAAUGGAGCCUUGCUGGCUUUUGGUGUUGUCUAUGUCCAUACUGGUGCACUUUGAAUUAUUUUGUGACCAACAAUACAGGACAUUGUGGACAUUCAUGUAUUGAUGGGCAACUGCAUCUCGACUGCAAUGGUCCUAGAUGGGCUACCCAAUCCCAUAUGGAUUUGGCACAGGCAGGGCCAAACUCCAGCCCUCCAGGUGUUUUGGACUUCAACUCCCACAAUUCCUAACAGGCUACCGGCUGUUCUGGAACACAACACACCAGACAUCACAGUUGUGGAAAAGAAGAAGGAGACAGAAGGUCUGAUCCUUGCAGCCCAGGAGCAAGCCAUCAGAACAAAUGCAAUUAAGGCCAAGAUCAAAAAAUCAUCUGAUGACCCAAAAUGCAGACUCUGCAAGGAAACUGACAAAACCAUUGAUCAUAUCCUCAGUUGCUGUAAGAAAAUUGCACAGACAGACUACAAACAGAGGCACAACUAUGUGGCCAAAAUGGCUCAUUGGAACUUAUGCCUCAAGUACCACCUCCCAGAAGUAAAGAACUGGUGGGAUCACAAACCUGCAAAAGUAUUGGAAAAUGAACACACAAAGAUACUGUGGGACUUCCAAAUCCAGACUGACAAAGUUCUGGAACACAACACACCAGACAUCACAGUUGUGGAAAAAGAAAAAGGUUUGGAUUAUUGAUGUCGCCAUACCAGUCAAACUGAUGAAAAACAACAGGAAAAACUCAGCCGCUAUCAGGACCUCAAGAUUGAACUUCAAAGACUCUGGCAGAAACCAGUGUAGGUGGUCCCGGUGGUGAUGGGCACAUUGGGUGCCCUGCCAAAAGAUCUCAGCCAGCAUUUGGAAAUAGACAUUGACAAAAUUACGAUCUGCCAACUGCAAAAGGCCACCCUGCUGGGAUCUGCACACAUCAUCCGAAAAUAUAUCACACAGUCUUAAACGCUUGGGAAGUGUUCGACUUGUGAUUUUGUGAUAUGAAAUCCAGCAUAUCUAUCUUGUUUGCUAUGUCAUACUAUGUUGUUGUGUCAAUAAUAAUAAUAAUAAUAAUAAUAAUAAUAAUAAUAAUAAUAAUUUUUGUGAAACGAAAUCCAGCAUAUCUAUCUUAUUUGCUGUGUCAUCAUAAUAAUAAUAAUAAUAAUAAUAAUAAUAAUAAUAAUAAUAAUAAUAAUAAUAAUAAUAAUAAUAAUCUUUAUUUAUAUCCCACCAAAGGGACUUGGGGCGGCUUACAAAGGAACUCCAAGGUGCAGCAUAUAACAUAAAAUGGUACAGGAGUAUAAAAACAAUAUCUCAUAGAAAUUAUAACAACGACUGCUAUGUCCUCAUUGUGAAAAAAAGACCACACUGAUCCAGAAGAAGUCUCCACAGUCACUUACGAACCCAUCGCCAAGACUCUACCUCUGAAACAAAAUCAAACUCAUGGGAUAGAUAGUCUGGCACUCUUUAGCAGAGAAGGCUAAAGAAUUUGUAAAAUUACACCUCCUAGGAUUCUAUCACAUUGAGCCAUAACAGUUCAAGUGGAGUCAAACUGAAUUAAUUCUGCAGUGUCAAUGCAACCUUAGAAAAGCCGUAUUGGUUGAAAAUAGAGGAUCUCUAGACCUCUUUUGGUGGACACAAGGUCUUCCAUGGGUGCAAAUGAAUGCUCAUCAUUGGAUUCCUCUCCAGCAGCUGGGCGCAUUUGUCCGAUUCACAAAGAGACAUCUGCGCCACUGGAAGGUGGGAGGAAGGCUAGGAGUUCAAUGCUUGUAUUUUUUUUUUUUCCGGAGCACAUUCAGACUUCCACCCGGCCCCCAAAUUCCGUUAUGUGUGUUUAUUUCCUCGGGGAAACUGUCACUCUUGUAUUAUAAAAUAGAUGAAACAGCUGUUGCCUCUUAACAUUUUCCCCAAAACAAUGUGUGAUUUUAUAAGCCUCUCCUUCCCACCUCCGCCCUCCUAAGCCAUCUCUUUGAAAAACCCAGGGAGGAAAAAAAAAAAAGAGAAAGAAAUCCUAAUCUUUUUUAGCAUUUGCAAAGUAAAUAGUUCAACAGGAGAAAUACGUGCUGGGUUAUGUAUUGUCGUGUGUUAAGGGAAAGAAGUGUGUGGGUUGUUUGAAAUGUGACAAUUGGGUGCGGGUAACUAAAUUCCUAGCAUCUGCCGAGAACUAUGGCUUAUGUAAAUGCUACAAAGAAUUUUCUAGUUCGUACAUUGCAUAUCACUCAGCUGAGGGAAGUUAUGGUCCCUGGACAUCUAUGACCCUUUAAGUUUGGGGCAAAUAAAUAACAAUACCCAAUAGGUGUCCCCAUAGAGACUAUACUUUGGUGGUUGAGGUUCACUGGAAGUCAUAUAUCACUUCUGGUGGUCAUUUUGGCCAUGUGUCAAGCAUUUUAAUAAUAGCUUUGGGUUGCUAUGAGUUUUCCGGGCUGUCUGGCCAUGUUCCAGAAGCAUUCUCUCCUGACGUUUCACCCACAUCUACCACGGGCAUCCUCGGCGGUUGUGGGGUCUGUUGGAGACUGCGCAAGUGGGGUUUAUAUAUCUGUGGGAAUGUUGGAGGCAAGUGUGAAUGUUGCAAUCGGCCAGCUUGAUUAGCAUUGAAUGGCCUUCCCCCAGGCAGGAAGCAGCCAGGCUUUGAAGCUGCAAGGCUAUUCAAUUUGUCAAGGUGGCCAAUUGCAACAUUCACCGACAAGAGUUCUUUCUCCCGCCCUGGACUUCAUUCCACGGAUAUGUGAACCCCACUUGCGCGGUUUCCAACGGAUCUCACGACCUCUGAGGAUGCCUGCCACAGAUGUGGGCGAGAAGUCAGGAGAGAAUGCUUCUGGAACAUACCCUGUUUCCCCAAAAAUAAGACAUCCCCUGAAAAUAAGACCUAGCAGAGGUUUUGCUGUGUUGCUAAAUACAAGUUUUGUUGGCUUCGACUCGGUCUGGACUAAGGUUUAUGUACAAGGUUCUGUGGAUGAAUGGCUCAAGUAUUUUGUAUUGUUUUAAAUCUGUUUUUAACUGCUUAUGUUUUAUUAUUUUGUAUUGUUGUGUAUUGGCAUCAAAUUCUGCCAGUUUUGUAAGCCGCCCUGAGUCCCUUCAGUGAGAAGGGCGGGAUAGAAAUGAUGGAAAUAAAUAAAUAAAUAAAUAAAUUUUC
This is a long non-coding RNA of Anolis carolinensis (green anole), 3716 nucleotides long. RefSeq lists it as uncharacterized. The record is from RefSeq and is a predicted model, not a curated record. The transcript is spliced from 3 exons. NCBI's taxonomy places the organism in Eukaryota, Metazoa, Chordata, Lepidosauria, Squamata, Anolidae.